This 504-nucleotide ribosomal RNA is filed under the name uncultured fungus. RNAcentral's name for it is "SSU rRNA". It matches the Rfam family "Eukaryotic small subunit ribosomal RNA", at positions 569 to 1078 of the family's 1831-position model. Lineage: Eukaryota; Fungi. The record is from RNAcentral.
ANCAGCCGCGGUAAUUCCAGCUCCAAUAGCGUAUAUUAAAGUUGUUGCCGUUAAAAAGCUCGUAGUUGAACCUUGGGCCUGGCUGACCUGUCCUCCUAAUCGAGCGCACGGGUUCGGUCGGGCCUUUCCUUCUGGGGAUCCCGAUGCCCUUCACUGGGCGUCGUGGGGAACCAGGACUUUUACCUUGAAAAAAUUAGAGUGUUCAAAGCAGGCCUUUGCUCGAAUACAUUAGCAUGGAAUAAUAGAAUAGGACAGAGGUUCUAUUUUGUUGGUUUCUAGGACCGCUGUAAUGAUUAAUAGGGAUAGUCGGGGGCGUCCGUAUUCAAUUGUCAGAGGUGAAAUUCUUGGAUUUAUUGAAGACGAACUACUGCGAAAGCAUUCGCCAAGGGUGUUUUCAUUAAUCAGUGAACGAAAGUUAGGGGAUCGAAGACGAUCAGAUACCGUCGUAGUCUUAACCAUAAACUAUGCCGACUAGGGAUCGGACGGUGGUUUUUUUAUGCCCCG